UAUCUAUAGUUGCCAUUACGGUAACAGGAGAUUAAUGCGAGUUGAGUAAAGCGUGAGAAUACACGAGCGGCGGACGGCUGAGUAACACGUAGGAACGUACCCCAAAGUGAGGGAUAAGCACCAGAAAUGGUGUCUAAUACCGCAUGUGCUCUAAGGAGUAAAGCUUCGGCGCUUUGGGAACGGCCUGCGCAUGAUUAGCUUGUUGGUGAGGUAAUAGCUCACCAAGGCUUCGAUCAUUAGCUGGUCUGAGAGGAUGACCAGCCAGACUGGGACUGAGAACGGCCCAGACUCCUACGGGAGGCAGCAGUAGGGAAUUUUCCACAAUGGGGGCAACCCUGAUGGAGCAACGCCGCGUGCAGGAUGAAGGCCCUAGGGUCGUAAACUGCUUUUAUCUGUGAAGAUUAUGACGGUAGCAGAUGAAUAAGGAUCGGCUAACUCCGUGCCAGCAGCCGCGGUCAUACGGAGGAUCCAAGCGUUAUCCGGAAUUACUGGGCGUAAAGAGUUGCGUAGGCGGUUAAGUAAGUUGGUAGUGAAAGCGUGGGGCUCAACCUCAUAUCCAUUACCAAAACUGCUUUGACUAGAGAAUGAGAGAGGUCGCUGGAAUUCCCUGUGUAGGAGUGAAAUCCGUAGAUAUAGGGAGGAACACCGAUGGCGUAGGCAGGCGAUUGGCUCAUUUCUGACGCUAAGGCACGAAAGCGUGGGGAGCGACCGGGAUUAGAUACCCCGUUAGUCCACGCCGUAAACGAUGGAUGCUAGCUGUUACCCGUAUCGACCCGGGUAGUAGCGAAGCUAACGCGUUAAGCAUCCCGCCUGUGGAGUACGAGCGCAAGCUUAAAACAUAAAGGAAUUGACGGGGACCCGCACAAGCGGUGGAGUGUGUUCUUUAAUUCGAUGGUAAGCGAAGAACCUUACCCAGGUUUGACAUCCUUGGAAUUUUUGCGAAAGCAGAGAGUGCUUUAUUGAGCCAAGUGACAGGUGUUGCACGGCUGUCGUCAGCUCGUGUCGUGAGAUGUUGGGUUAAGUCCCGCAACGAGCGCAACCCUCGGGAUCUGUUGUAUCACUCAGAUCCGACUGCCGAGAGAAACUCGGAGGAAGGUGGGGAUGACGUCAAGUCAGCGUGGCCUUUAUGUCUGGGGCUACACGCACGCUACAAUCGCCGGUCACAACGGGUUGCGACUGCGCAAGCAGAAGCUAAUCCCCUAAAACCGGCGUCAGUUCAGAUCGAAGGCUGCAACUCGCCUUCGUGAAGUCGGAGUUGCUAGUAACCGCAGGUCAGCACACUGCGGUGAAUAUGUUCCCGGGCCUUGUACACACCGCCCGUCACGUCAUGGGAGUUAGUAACGCCCGAAGCCGGUGGGCCAACCGCAAGGAGGCAGCCGUCGAAGGUGGGA
This 1391-nucleotide ribosomal RNA is filed under the name uncultured bacterium. RNAcentral's name for it is "bacterial SSU rRNA". It matches the Rfam family "Bacterial small subunit ribosomal RNA". The record is from RNAcentral.